RNAcentral lists this ribosomal RNA (468 nucleotides) under uncultured bacterium. RNAcentral's name for it is "partial 16S ribosomal RNA". It matches the Rfam family "Bacterial small subunit ribosomal RNA", at positions 28 to 507 of the family's 1533-position model. The record is from RNAcentral.
GACGAACGCUGGCGGCGUGCCUAACACAUGCAAGUCGAACGGAAAGGCCCUGCUUUUGUGGGGUGCCCGAGUGGCGAACGGGUGAGUAACACGUGAGUAACCUGCCCUUGACUUUGGGAUAACUUCAGGAAACUGGGGCUAAUACCGGAUAGGAGCUCCUGUUGCAUGGUGGGGGUUGGAAAGUUUCGGCGGUUGGGGAUGGACUCGCGGCUUACCAGCUUGCUGGUGGGGUAGUGGCUUACCAAGGCUUUGACGGGUAGCCGGACUGAGAGGGUGACCGGCCACAUUGGGACUGAGAUACGGCCCAGACUCCUACGGGAGGCAGCAGUGGGGAAUAUUGCACAAUGGGCGGAAGCCUGAUGCAGCAACGCCGCGUGCGGGAUGACGGCCUUCGGGUUAUAAACCGCUUUCGCCUGUAACGAAGCGUGAGUGACGGUAAUGUGUAAAGAAGCAACGGCUAACUACGUG